GUUAAAAAGCUCGUAGUUGGAUUUCUGCGGGGGCGGGGCGGCCGGUUGCUUAUAGCAACUCGAGCUAGCACUUCCCCUGCAUCCUGCCGCGAACCGUGCUACCAUUAGUUUGGUGGCGCCGGGGAUCGGCUCGUUUACUUUGAGAAAAAUAGAGUGUUCAAAGCAGGCCACACGCCUUGAAUAAGUUAGCAUGGAAUAAUGAUAAAGGACUUCGGUUCUAUUUUGUUGGUGUUCGGGACUGAAGUAAUGAUUGAUAGGGACAGUUGGGGCGGUCCGUAUUCCAAAGCGAGAGGUGAAAUUCUUAGACCUUCGGAAGACGAACAGCUGCGAAAGCGUUCCGCAAGGAUGUUCCCUUUGAUCAAGAACGAAAGUUGGGGGAUCGAAGACGAUCAGAUACCGUCGUAGUCUCAACUAUAAACUAUACCAGCUAGGGAUCGGCCAACGUUUAAUUACACCGACUUGGUCGGCACCUUAUGAGAAAUCAAAGCAUCUGGGUUCCGGGGGGAGUAUGGUCGCAAGGCUGAAACUUAAAGGAAUUGACCGAAGGGCACCACCAGCCGUGGAGCC
RNAcentral lists this ribosomal RNA (567 nucleotides) under uncultured marine eukaryote. Its description in RNAcentral is "bacterial SSU rRNA". It matches the Rfam family "Eukaryotic small subunit ribosomal RNA", at positions 618 to 1183 of the family's 1831-position model. The record is from RNAcentral.